GUCGUGGCGGGGCCGGGUGGGCCGGGGCCGUGCGGGGCCAUGGGCAGCGUGCGCUGGGCUUUCCCCUGCGGGGCCUGGCGCCCCUGCCGCCGUGAGUGGCUGCUGGCCGCGCAGCUGGUGCAACCCGAGGAGAAGGACCGCAUCGGCCAGUUUGUCUUUGCCCGCGAUGCCAAAGCCGCCUUGGCUGGUCGCCUGCUGAUGCGGAAAUUAAUUGCAGAAAAGAUGUGCAUACCUUGGAAUAAAGUACACUUGCAAAGGACGUCGAAAGGAAAACCUUUCCUGGCCAAUACCGUAAUCAGUAUCAAUUCGAAUUACAAUUUCAAUAUCUCUCAUCAAGGAGAUUAUGCAGUCCUUGCAGCUGAGCCUGAGCUUCAAGUGGGUGUUGAUAUAAUGAAGACUAAUUUACCAGGUAGUAGCUCAGUUCCAAAUUUCUUUCACAUCAUGAAGCGACAGUUUACUGAGACGGAGUGGGAUGUAAUCAAGUCUAUGAGUAAUGAAUGGAUGCAGCUGGAUAUGUUUUAUCGGCACUGGGCCUUAAAGGAAAGCUUCUUAAAGGCUAUUGGAGUUGGAAUUGGCUUUAACUUGCAAAGAAUUGAGUUUAAUGUAUCCCCAUUGCAACUGGAAAUAGGGAAGGUGUAUAAGGAGACAAAAAUGCUUCUGGAUGGAGAAAAAGAAGAGGAGUGGACAUUUGAGGAAACCCGGUUCGAUGACCAUCAUCAUGUUGCAGUGGCACUCGGGAAACAGACGGGAUUUGUGCAAAAGGCUUCUGAUGAGAGGUCUGGGAAGGAGAAAUGCUUUCAGAGGACAGCAACAGAUAAUGUCAGAUCUGGAAUGCAGUGAUCAGUGUGUUCAUUCAAGAGAAGAUUAAGUGAUUUUUGUCACAGCCUGCUAGUACUCAUGUGGGAAAGAUGGUCUUCACAGAGGGAAAUGGAGACAGUGAACCAAUCUGGACUUGCUAAACUUGUAUGACACCUCACCAAGUUGAUUUUAAUGGGGGACUGUCAGUGCAUGUAUCCCGGAGCAGAUCCAUCGCUCAAACACGACUAUGACAAGAUAACCCUUGAGACAAGCAACAACAGCCAAGAGAUGGGAAGAACAGCAGUGUUAGUCUUCAUUCCAUGUGGUGUCUAUUGAGAGAAGGAACAAAGCUACUUAAAAACUUUUCAGGAUUUUCUGUGCAAUUUAACAAAGAUCUCAGUCAUAAAAUAGCAAUAAAAGUCAAAAUUAAGGGAGAAGCAGACUGGCAAGUUGUAGCUGAAAUAGCCAAACAAUCAGAAAAGGAGAGUGUGACAAAUUGCCGGAUUUUUCUGUGGUGUUUUAGUUGCUAACAAGAAAAUGGGUUAGUUGUUUUCUGUUAUUUAGAUACAAAGGUUCUACCAGGAACUAGAAAAAACGUAGUGUAGGAAUGGAUAAAAGCAUAAAAGUGGUAAUGCACACUUAAUAAAGUCUGUCUGUGUUCGUGAAUAACACAAAGAGGCAGACCUUUUAACUAGUAUUGGGUAGGUUAAAAAGAAAAAAGAGAUAUAAACUGCCUUUGGGGUUUUACUGUGUCAAAUCAGUGUACAAAUACUAUUUUAAGAAAAUAUAUUCAAUCUGCUUGACAGGACAUACUUAAGUUCUCUUUGGGAUGGCAUAUCAUUCUUCUGACAGGAAUACUAAUAAAUGCAGUCUGAGGUGAAAAGAAGAUGGCCAUUAUUUAUAAAGACAGCUACCUAAGUAUUCUACAAAAAUCCAGGAAUUUUAAGUGUUGACCUUCACCACCAUCACAUACCUUGAAGUUAUCAUAGGAAGAAUAGUAAUGAUAUCAAGAAUUAUGAUGAAAAAUCUUUGAAUCAAGAGAAGUCUUAAAGGCAUACUUGUCCACUGACUAAAUUUCUGAUGACCUGAGUUUCAGGUCAUCUCAAUUCACGGAAAAAAGGUCGUUUUAAGCAGGACAAGUGAGCAUCCUGUGACUCCCCAGUAUGGAAAUUAAGUGAAAAUUUAUAUACUAUUGCAUUGUGCCUUUUUAGGCCUCCUUCUAACAGGAACAUGGAGGAAAUGAAAAUUACCUUCUCUCUAUGUAACAGAACUGUAAAAAAUGAUUUUGUUUUAAAUGUCUUGCUAGAUGUGUUGAGAGAAAAAGUUGUUCAUCCUUCUUAAAUACGUGCAAUUGUUCCAGGAUGUCAGUGUUUGAGUUUGUUCCCCCUCUGCAAUCACAGGAGUAAUUCAUUAUGUCCUGUUUGCAGAACAUGUACGUUCAACUUUCUUCCUGUACUGAUAGCAAGUACCUACAAUUCACAGGAAAGACCAAUUGUUACAUUAAUGCACUAUAGUGAAAAAUCUCUAGUGUCAAGAAUCUUUACAAAGUGUCUGCUAGUGACUGCUAUAUGCUUUAAGAAACAAUGUGUAUCUGCACUCUUUACUGAGAUCUAGACAGUUAUCUGUGGCAAAUCUCAAUGAAAGAGGGCUGAAUUUAUAAUUCUUUAUAAUUCCUGUGUAGGCUAUAAAAUAUCUUUUUGUCUGUCACUUGCUAAAUUUCACAAGACUUGAGAUGAAUUCAGUCAGAACACACUUGCCCUCAGACAAGCAUGUGCUGAAGUUCAAACUAGAUCUGUUAACAUCUUCUUAGCUCUGAGGCUCUGAGGCUUAGUUCAUGUUUGGUAUGCAUCUCUGAUGUCACUUGCAUGGCUCUAGGCACAGUUCCUGCAGCUUUACCUCAUCUCCAAAAUGUCACAUGAACAGGAAUGUCUCAACACUAUAUCAUUUGUGUAAGGACAUAAAGCGACAGCCAGCUCAACUUCUGGUUUCAGUCUGUAUUGACAACUUAGAGUUUUUCUGUGCUGUUACAGCAAGCAAAACCCAUUUGGUUGUCUCUGCAUUUAUUCCUACCAGUAACUUACUGCUCAGACACUGAAAUGGACAGUAGACUUUUUUGCCCUUUUACCUAUUUACUGACCCACCUUCAUCGAUGUGACAGAAAGAGACAACAAAAUCCUCAAAAUAGGCCUUAGAUAGGAUCAUCUCCAGCAUUGGUACGUGAGCAAGAAAAGGCCUACAAAGUACAAUUAUGAACAAAUUCCCCAACCUUUCUACAGGAACUCAACACGCUGGGGUGCCUUUACAGUGCCUGUACACUAGUCCAAACAGUAUGAGGAAUAAAGUAUCAUCUCUGGAAAGGUGGCAGAGCAGCUAAUUCUGGAAACCAUUUCCAGAUGCAGUAAGGACAAAGAAAUCAUCAGGACUGGUCAGCAUAGCUUCACCAGGAGAAAGUCAUGGUACGUUCCAUGGAGCCUAACCCACCACAGUUUACGUUACUGACUUUUGAAGAUUUAGUUGCAUCUGGUA
Molecule: RNA transcript, 3324 nt
Organism: Neopelma chrysocephalum (saffron-crested tyrant-manakin)
Lineage: Eukaryota; Metazoa; Chordata; Aves; Passeriformes; Pipridae
Gene: AASDHPPT
Gene name: aminoadipate-semialdehyde dehydrogenase-phosphopantetheinyl transferase
Exons: 7
Source: RefSeq, a predicted model, not a curated record